CAGCCCUUGACAUGUGACUCGCCGGUCCCAGAGAUGGGACCUUCGGUUCGGCCGGAGUCAACACAGGUGCUGCAUGGCUGUCGUCAGCUCGUGUCGUGAGAUGUUGGGUUAAGUCCCGCAACGAGCGCAACCCUCGUCUCCAGUUGCCAUCAGGUUAUGCUGGGCACUUUGGAGAAACUGCCGGUGACAAGCCGGAGGAAGGUGGGGAUGACGUCAAGUCCUCAUGGCCCUUACGGGCUGGGCUACACACGUGCUACAAUGGCGGUGACAAUGGGAUGCGAUGGCGCGAGCCGGAGCCGAUCCUAAAAAACCGUCUCAGUUCGGAUUGCACUCUGCAACUCGAGUGCAUGAAGUUGGAAUCGCUAGUAAUCGAGGAUCAGCAUGCCUCGGUGAAUACGUUCCC
RNAcentral lists this ribosomal RNA (403 nucleotides) under uncultured bacterium. Its description in RNAcentral is "bacterial SSU rRNA". It matches the Rfam family "Bacterial small subunit ribosomal RNA", at positions 975 to 1375 of the family's 1533-position model. The record is from RNAcentral.